Molecule: ribosomal RNA, 166 nt
Filed under: Senecio hypoleucus
Lineage: Eukaryota; Viridiplantae; Streptophyta; Magnoliopsida; Asterales; Asteraceae
Description: 5.8S ribosomal RNA
Rfam family: 5.8S ribosomal RNA
About the family: 5.8S ribosomal RNA (5.8S rRNA) is a component of the large subunit of the eukaryotic ribosome. It is transcribed by RNA polymerase I as part of the 45S precursor that also contains 18S and 28S rRNA.
Source: RNAcentral
CAUAAACGACUCUCGGCAACGGAUAUCUYGGCUCACGCAUCGAUGAAGAACGUAGCAAAAUGCGAUACUUGGUGUGAAUUGCAGAAUCCCGUGAACCAUCGAGUUUUUGAACGCAAGUUGCGCCCGAAGCCCUUUGGCUGAGGGCACGUCUGCCUGGGCGUCACAC